CAGUCGAGGGGCAUCGGGGUGUAGCAUACACUGCCGGCGACCGGCGCACGGGUGCGUAACGCGUAUACAAUUUGCCUUAUACUGGGAGAUAGCCCGGAGAAAUUCGGAUUAAUAUCCCAUAAUAAUUUUGGUCCGCCUGGACUGAUUUUUAAAGCUACGGCGGUAUAAGAUGAGUAUGCGUCUGAUUAGCUAGUUGGUGAGGUAACGGCUCACCAAGGCAACGAUCAGUAGGGGGCCUGAGAGGGUUAUCCCCCACACUGGAACUGAGACACGGUCCAGACUCCUACGGGAGGCAGCAGUGAGGAAUAUUGGUCAAUGGAGGCAACUCUGAACCAGCCAUGCCGCGUGAAGGAUGAAGGCCCUAAGGGUUGUAAACUUCUUUUAUUGGGGAAGAAACCUUUCUACGUGUAGAGAGCUGACGGUACCCAAGGAAUAAGGACCGGCUAACUCCGUGCCAGCAGCCGCGGUAAUACGGAGGGUCCGAGCGUUAUCCGGAAUCAUUGGGUUUAAAGGGUGCGCAGGCGGUAAAGUAAGUCAGUGGUGAAAUCCCUUCGCUCAACGAAGGAACUGCCAUUGAUACUGCUAUACUUGAAUAUAGUCGAAGUGGGCGGAAUGUGACAUGUAGCGGUGAAAUGCUUAGAUAUGUCACAGAACACCGAUAGCGAAGGCAGCUCACUAGACUAACAUUGACGCUCAUGCACGAAAGCGUGGGGAGCGAACAGGAUUAGAUACCCUGGUAGUCCACGCUGUAAACUAUGAUUACUCGUUCUCGGCGAUAUACGGUCGGGGACUAAGCGAAAGUGAUAAGUAAUCCACCUGGGGAGUACGGUCGCAAGAUUGAAACUCAAAGGAAUUGACGGGGGCCCGCACAAGCGGUGGAGCAUGUGGUUUAAUUCGAUGAUACGC
Molecule: ribosomal RNA, 906 nt
Filed under: uncultured bacterium
Lineage: Bacteria
Description: bacterial SSU rRNA
Rfam family: Bacterial small subunit ribosomal RNA
Source: RNAcentral